Molecule: ribosomal RNA, 407 nt
Filed under: uncultured bacterium
Lineage: Bacteria
Description: partial 16S ribosomal RNA
Rfam family: Bacterial small subunit ribosomal RNA
Source: RNAcentral
AUUGAACGCUAGCGGGAUGCUUUACACAUGCAAGUCGAACGGAGUGGCGAACGGGUGAGUAAUGUAUCGGAACGUGCCCAGUAGCGGGGGAUAACUACGCGAAAGCGUAGCUAAUACCGCAUAAUAUUGGAUCGGCCGAUAUCGGAUUAGCUAGUUGGGGAGGAAACGGCUCACCAAGGAGACGAUCCGUAGCUGGUUUGCGAGGACGACCAGCCACACUGGGACUGAGACACGGCCCAGACUCCUACGGGAGGCAGCAGUGGGGAAUUUUGGACAAUGGGGGCAACCCUGAUCCAGCCAUCCCGCGUGUGCGAUGAAGGCCUUCGGGUUGUAAAGCACUUUUGGCAGGAAAGCGGUACCUGCAGAAUAAGCACCGGCUAACUACGUGCCAGCCGCCGCGGUAAUUC